UGGCUCUGGCAUCGAUGAAGAACGCAGCGAAAUGCGAUAAGUAAUGUGAAUUGCAGAAUUCAGUGAAUCAUCGAAUCUUUGAACGCACAUUGCGCCCGCCAGCACUCUGGCGGGCAUGCCUGUCCGAGCGUCAUUAACACCACUCGGGACCCCUCGGUCCCGGCGUUGGGGACCGGCCACGCGCCGGCCCCGAAUUAUAGUGGCGGUCGUCACGCGACUCCCCUGUGCAGUAGCGAUACCACGCAGAGGGCCUAGCGGGUCAACCACGCCGUAAAACCCCCAACUCUAUGAUGUUGACCUCGGAUCAGGUAGGAAUACCCGCUGA
RNAcentral lists this unclassified non-coding RNA (325 nucleotides) under uncultured fungus. Its description in RNAcentral is "partial contains 5.8S ribosomal RNA and internal transcribed spacer 2". The stretch from base 1 to 133 matches the Rfam family "5.8S ribosomal RNA", at positions 22 to 154 of the family's 154-position model. The record is from RNAcentral. Lineage: Eukaryota; Fungi.